CGCUGGCGGCGUGCCUAAUACAUGCAAGUCGAACGGUCUUUCUAUGGAAGCUUGCUUCCACUGAGAAGAUAGUGGCGAACGGGUGAGUAACACGUGGGUAACCUGCCCAUAAGAGGGGGAUAACAUCCGGAAACGGGUGCUAAUACCGCAUAGUUUUCUUGAUCGCAUGAUUGAGAAAGGAAAGACGGCCUUUGUGCUGUCGCUUAUGGAUGGACCCGCGGCGUAUUAGUUAGUUGGUGAGGUAACGGCUCACCAAGACGAUGAUACGUAGCCGACCUGAGAGGGUGAUCGGCCACAUUGGGACUGAGACACGGCCCAAACUCCUACGGGAGGCAGCAGUAGGGAAUCUUCCGCAAUGGACGAAAGUCUGACGGAGCAACGCCGCGUGAGUGAAAGAAGGUUUUCGGAUCGUAAAACUCUGUUGUCAGAGAAGAACAAGUUGGAGAGUAACUGCUCCAGCCUUGACGGUAUCUGACCAGAAAGCCACGGCUAACUACGUGCCAGCCGCCGC
RNAcentral lists this ribosomal RNA (511 nucleotides) under uncultured bacterium. Its description in RNAcentral is "bacterial SSU rRNA". It matches the Rfam family "Bacterial small subunit ribosomal RNA", at positions 34 to 518 of the family's 1533-position model. The record is from RNAcentral.